AUAAUGUUUUUUAGUGUAAAAAGUGUGAAUUAUUUAAUCAAAUAUCUAAAUUAAUUUUAAUAUAAAUAUUAACGGCCUAAAUUUGCCUAAUACGUGGUAAGGAUUGUAUAAAUAAAGAACAUCCCCGCCCAACGCUCCAAAAAUAAAGAUUUCACUAUAAUUAAUAUUUGUACAAUGAUAAGAAUAAAAGAAAAUACAAAUACUAAAAAAAGUAAGCUCUUCUUUGAAUAUCAUUCCCGACGAGUAUUUCUAAGAACCUGUACAAACAUUUAUAAUAAAAAUAUUAGUAACAAAUAAAUAAUUAUCAAAAUAAAUGUAAAAGGUAUGUGUGCAUAUAUGUAUUUAAAAAUAUAAUUUUUUGCUAAAAGAUGGGCUCAAAUUAAAUUUUAGAUACACCAUGGCUACGAAGGGGUUGCUUAAUUUGUUGGCCGUCAUAAAUCGCCUUGCCAAGAUACGAUUCAUAAAAUCUUUUGUGUUUUAAUAAAAAUUUCGUCAUCGACCAAAUUUAUUUAUUUUAUUAUGUAUUUAUUUACGUAACAUCCGUCUUUUUAUUUGUGGAGGCCUCAGAAAUCGACAGAAAAAUUUCUUCAUCGGCCAUUUCAUAUAACAUUUGUUCAUUGUAAGUGUUAUAUCAAAUAAAAAAAUGAAUAGGAAGAAUUCCAAAAAAAAUCAGUCUAUAUUUUUCAGGAAUAAAUGUGAACAGUUGACAACACUAGUAAAAUAUCAACAAAUAUACGGAGUAGUCAAUAAACCCAAAAGGGCGAGACAAAUACCCAAAAUCAUAAACAGGUUCAUGGUCAAGCACCAUUCAUCAUAGAAGUCCACAAUGAUCACCAAUAAGAUUAGAAACACCAUAAUUUAAAGUUAACAAAGACAAUCAUAGACAGGACCAAACAAAUAAAUGAGCUAAAAAUGAGUUGUCGGAGUGAAAUUUUUUGAUUAGAUCUGGUGCGUCGAUGGUGGUGAACAUUAUUUCUAAAUAAUAAAUAAUAAAACAGAUGAGGUAGGGAGAGGACUAGCGGCGAUGGUGCGGCUGGAGGUUUGUGGGUUCGCUCGUCGGUAGCCAACUCCUGCGAAGCAACAGUGGAGAAAGAAAAGAGGGCAGCGAUAAUUGGUGUUGCUGGAUCGACACUAGUUAAACCGGUGGAAGGAGAUGAUGGGGAGAAAGAACGAAGGAGAAGAGAGAAGAGAGGAGGAGUGGUUGAAGGCUAGUGGUGGUGCGGUGAUUCUCCGACUGGAAUAUUGCCGUAGAAGGUGGGCAACGGUUGUUUAUGUGGGAGACGAGAAGAUGUGGCUGUGCAUAAAUUGUGUGUGUGAAUGUGUAUUUGUGUUAAAGUGUGUAUUGUAUAUGUUAAAACAAAAAUUAACCCCCCUUCCUUCUUAUAAUAAAAAUUGAUCCUCUCAAUUAUCCAAAAAAUAAAAAAUUGACCUCUCUUGUCUCCUCAAAAUUUCUUUUAAUCCGAAAGUUAUUUACCGAAAAAUUUUACAUCCUUUUAACCUGUGUAUAAAAAUUAUUUAUUCAACGGAUGAAAAUCUCAACCCGUCACUUCAAACAUCAACUUUUAAAAAGUGACGAGACCUUGACCUGACUGAUUUAUUGCUCUUUGUAUAAAAAUAAUUGAGCCGACAUUAUCGUUUGC
This 1640-nucleotide long non-coding RNA is filed under the name Capsicum annuum. RNAcentral's name for it is "long non-coding RNA (CANN_LNC002273)". Lineage: Eukaryota; Viridiplantae; Streptophyta; Magnoliopsida; Solanales; Solanaceae. The record is from RNAcentral.